Molecule: transfer RNA, 77 nt
Filed under: Desulfosporosinus sp.
Lineage: Bacteria; Bacillati; Bacillota; Clostridia; Eubacteriales; Desulfitobacteriaceae
Also listed under: 2 other names
Description: tRNA-Pro
Rfam family: tRNA
About the family: Transfer RNA (tRNA) molecules are approximately 80 nucleotides in length. Their secondary structure includes four short double-helical elements and three loops (D, anti-codon, and T loops).
Source: RNAcentral
CGGGGCGUGGCGCAGUUUGGUAGCGUGCUUGGUUCGGGACCAAGAGGCCGAGUGUUCGAAUCACUUCGCCCCGACCA